This 423-nucleotide ribosomal RNA is filed under the name Antilope cervicapra (blackbuck). RNAcentral's name for it is "partial large subunit ribosomal RNA". It matches the Rfam family "Bacterial large subunit ribosomal RNA", at positions 2007 to 2607 of the family's 2925-position model. Lineage: Eukaryota; Metazoa; Chordata; Mammalia; Artiodactyla; Bovidae. The record is from RNAcentral.
AGGGUUUUACUGUCUCUUACUUCCAAUCAGUGAAAUUGACCUUCCCGUGAAGAGGCGGGAAUAAACAAAUAAGACGAGAAGACCCUAUGGAGCUUUAACUAACUAGUUCAAAGAAAAGAAACUUAACCACCAAGGGAUAAUACUAUUCUUCAUGAGCUAACAGUUUUGGUUGGGGUGACCUCGGAGAACAAAAAAUCCUCCGAGCGAUUUUAAAAAUAAGACACACAAGUCAAAUUGAACUAUCGCUUAUUGAUCCAAAAUUUGAUCAACGGAACAAGUUACCCUAGGGAUAACAGCGCAAUCCUAUUCAAGAGUUCAUAUCGACAAUAGGGUUUACGACCUCGAUGUUGGAUCAGGACACCCCGAUGGUGCAACCGCUAUCAAAGGUUCGUUUGUUCAACGAUUAAAGUCCUACGUGAUCUG